Molecule: non-coding RNA, 110 nt
Filed under: Cellulomonas fimi
Lineage: Bacteria; Bacillati; Actinomycetota; Actinomycetes; Micrococcales; Cellulomonadaceae
Also listed under: 1 other name
Description: SAM-IV sequence
Rfam family: SAM (S-adenosyl methionine) riboswitch aptamer
About the family: SAM-IV is a mRNA element that regulates gene expression via direct sensing of S-adenosylmethionine (SAM or AdoMet). SAM-IV riboswitches share conserved nucleotide positions with the previously described SAM-I riboswitches sequence analysis and molecular recognition experiments suggest that SAM-I and SAM-IV riboswitches share similar ligand binding sites, but have different scaffolds.
Source: RNAcentral
GGUCACGAGACCCGACGUCAAGCCCUGGCUGGUCGGGCGGCAACCCUCCGCACGUGGCGGGGUGCUCCAGGUGAUGACCCGGCACGGCUUCGGCCGUGCAAGCACGCCGC